UACACGCUGUGACUAGCAUAUCAAUAAGCGGAGGAAAAGAAACUAACAAGGAUUCCCCUAGUAACGGCGAGUGAAGCGGGAAGAGCUCAAAUUUGAAAUCUUAAAGGGUUUCCCUUUACGAAUUGUAGUUUAAAGAAGUGUUUUCUGUUGAGGUUUUGGUAAAAGUUCUUUGGAAUAGGACAUCAUAGAGGGUGAGAAUCCCGUAUUUGACCAUUUACUUUUCAGCUGUGUGAUACACUUUCAAAGAGUCGGAUUGUUUGGGAAUGCAGUCCAAGAUGGGUGGUAAAUUUCAUCUAAAGCUAAAUAUUGGCGAGAGACCGAUAGCGAACAAGUACCGUGAGGGAAAGAUGAAAAGAACUUUGAAAAGAGAGUUAAACAGUACGUGAAAUUGUCAAAAGGGAAGCGUUUGACACCAGUGUUGUUUUUCUGAAAAUCAAUUAAAGAACUGUUUAUGCUAAGUUGUUUAGACUUUAUCAGCUAACUGUUUAGUUUUGAGCUUUUCUUUAAUGCACUUUUCAGUUAACAAGUCAACAUCAAUUUCUUUUGCUGUAAAAAAGCUUGAGGAAGGUGGCUUGAGAUUCGUCUUAAGUGUUUAUAGCCUCUUGCCUAUGCAGUCGGAGAGAUUGAGGUCUGCAGCGUAGAUCCUUCGGGGCUAAAUGCAUUUGUGCUAAGUUAUAGCAUUUUAUAGACAACUUGUUGACUAUGAUUUGUCUUGUAGCUUACUCGCUUAUGUUAUUUUACCUACGCUUAGGAUGUUGAAGAUGUAGCACAUCAU
This 775-nucleotide ribosomal RNA is filed under the name uncultured Neocallimastigales. RNAcentral's name for it is "partial large subunit ribosomal RNA". It matches the Rfam family "Eukaryotic large subunit ribosomal RNA", at positions 22 to 635 of the family's 3401-position model. The record is from RNAcentral. Lineage: Eukaryota; Fungi; Neocallimastigomycota; Neocallimastigomycetes; Neocallimastigales.